GUGGCGUUCAGGGUUAGGUCUGCCGAGGUCCCGCGGCAGGAGAGCCCGGGGACUGCAUGCGUCUGCGCAGCUGCGAGGUUAAGCCGCCCUUUGGCGGUCCCCAGGACGGUUCCUGGUGCCAGACGGUCCCAGUAAGUGCUGUCUACGUUAUUAUUUGGAAGAAUGCACCUCAGAUGUUAACUAUUUUCUUAAUAUAACAUCCGGCCUGGGCAAGGUGGCUUAUGCCUGUAAUCCCAGCACUUUAGGAGACCGAGGCAGGUGGAUCACUUGAGGCCAGGAGUUUGAGACCAGCCUGGCCGUGGUGAAACCCCGAAUCUACUAAAAAUAUAAAAAUUGGCCGAGCAUGGCGGCUCAUGCCUGUAAUCCCAGCUACUUGGGAGGAUGAGGCAGAAGAAUGGCUUGAACCUGGGAGGUGGAGGUUGCAGUGAGCCGAGAUCUCACCACUGCACUCCAGCCUGGGCGACAGAGUGAGACUGUCUCAAAAAAAAAUUUUUGUUAUUAUAAUAAACUGUAUUUUGUGCAAGCCAU
Molecule: long non-coding RNA, 528 nt
Filed under: Homo sapiens (human)
Lineage: Eukaryota; Metazoa; Chordata; Mammalia; Primates; Hominidae
Description: HSALNT0036539
Source: RNAcentral